Molecule: ribosomal RNA, 253 nt
Filed under: uncultured bacterium
Lineage: Bacteria
Description: partial 16S ribosomal RNA
Rfam family: Bacterial small subunit ribosomal RNA
Source: RNAcentral
GACAUAGGUGGCAAACGUUAUCCGGAUUUAUUGGGCGUAAAGGGUGCGUAGGCGGCGGAGUAAGUUGGGUGUGAAAUCCCGGGGCUUAACCUCGGAAUGGCAUUCAAUACUGCUUCGCUUGAGUACUGGAGAGGAGGCUGGAAUUUACGGUGUAGCAGUGAAAUGCGUAGAUAUCGUAAGGAAGGCCGGUGGCGAAAGCGAGCCUCUGGACAGUUACUGACGCUGAUGCACGAAGGCCAGGGGAGCAAACGGG